Molecule: ribosomal RNA, 253 nt
Filed under: uncultured bacterium
Lineage: Bacteria
Description: partial 16S ribosomal RNA
Rfam family: Bacterial small subunit ribosomal RNA
Source: RNAcentral
GACGAACUGUGCGAACGUUAUUCGGAAUCACUGGGCUUAAAGGGCGCGUAGGCGGGUGCUCAAGUCUGUGGUGAAAUCCUCCGGCUCAACCGGAGAACUGCCAUGGAUACUGGGUGCCUCGAGGGUGGUAGGGGUAUGCGGAACUAUCGGUGGAGCGGUGAAAUGCGUUGAUAUCGAUAGGAACUCCGGUGGCGAAGGCGGCAUACUGGACCGCUUCUGACGCUGAGGCGCGAAAGCCAGGGGAGCGAACGGG